AAAAAAAAAAAAAAAAAAUCAAUUCUAUGAAUUUGUUAUAACUAAAAUCAAAUUUUAUCAAAAUUGAUGAAAUUUAAAAAUAUUAUUUUUGGAUUAAAAUAUUCUUAUAAAAAGAUUUCCAAUUAAGAAAAUGGAAACUACAAACUAACAAGUAUAUAAGAUAUUUUAUAUAUUUUUUAAUUUUUUAAUAUUAAGCUUAUUAUGCACUUAGUAAUUACACUAUUUAUGUUAUUAUAUAAAUCUCCUAUGAUAUAAAACAUGUGAAUUUAGUUUAUAUUUAUUACUAUAUUGUUAGUUGGUUUAAUUGUGUUAGUUGUUAUAAAUUUAUUGUAUAAGAUUUUUUUGAAUUUUGUAGAAAAUUAUAAUCUUUUAAUUUUUCUUUUGAGAGUAGUUUAGAAAAUGAGGGCAAAUGAAUUUUAGUCCUGUAAUUAUAUCAAACAUGAAAUAUAUGGAAUUCAAUUGAAUUAUGCAUUUUUAAGUUGUGUCAUGCUAAAUAGUGGAAUUCAUUUCAAAUGAAUUAUAGUUAGAAUUCAUUUCAAAUGAAUUCCAAAACUUGUGGCAAAAUUGAACCUUACACUAUGUACAAGCUAAUGCUUGAUAGGAAAUUUAUAUCACUAGAAUGAAAUAGAUAUGCUAGAUAUGAUUACGAAUACAUUCAUUUAGUUGGGAAGAAAACAAAACUGCUAAGGAAGUCCUUACAGUUACAGUAAACUCAAAUGAAGCAUCGAGCUAUCUUUCCAAUAGGGUACCCAGUGGAUUGUUUAUGGUUGAUUUUAGAACAACCGUACAUGUACAAGACAUUUUUACUUAAAAGGAAUUUUUUGCGCAAAAUAUUGAUAUGGAUAGCAUUCCUUCUAGGACAUGAUGGUGUUGUAGCUGCAUAAUUGGCAUUAAGAGAUUUUAGAGAUUGAAUGAGGAAAUCAGGGGUAUUGAUGUCUGGCAGCAAUCCUUCCGUAAAAGCACAUUGUGUUGGACUGGAAAUUCAAAUUUAGAUCUAGCUAAAAGAAAAAACCCACUUGCAAUUUUUUUUUUUUUUCACUCCUAGAGAAUUGUUAUAUUCUCAGUUCAAUUGGUUGAUCCCUGAUCAUGUUUAAAACUUUUUUUUUUUUGUUGCCUUCAUUCCACCUUGUCAUUUCCAUCAACAGCUCAUAAAUUUGUCAGUAUUGACUCUCAAUUUUGCAGCUAUUCUCAGCAUUUUUUUUUUUGGUAAUUAAAAUAAUGCAGUUAUGCAGAUUUACUUCAUCUGCAAAAAGUAUUAUAUCAUCCGUAAGGCAUAAUUUGAAAAACCCACAAUUCUUGUGGAAAAGUUUGUUGCUAUAAUUAUUUGGUACCCCAGACUCUAGAAAAAUCCUUCUGAAUGAUAACUGGUCGGGCAUAAUGGUUACCAAAGUAGUUUCCACCUCUUUUGCAGCCAGAUUGCAGACACGCUUUGCCUUUUAUGGUAGCUCCUUCUAGAAUCGAAUGAUUCUGAGUAAUAGUGUGAAAGAAUUCUAGGCACUUAAUUGCUGAUUUAUCAGACACUGUUGAACAUUGCCUGUUCUAGGUAAUUGUUUUGAAUUCUUUUUGCAGAUUAAACGAGGAAAUGAAGGGUAUUGAUAGCUUAGCUGCACAACUAAAAGUCCUGAGGAGAAAUGUGGAUGCGCUGGACACAGCUGUGAACAGGCUUCUCCGUUUUCCAUGAUGCAGAGCUGCUCAACUGAUUAGUUGUCAUUUGGGACUUCUAAUACAACUUCACUUGUAUCCAGUGCUACUUUUGUUUGAGAAGUUUCAAGCUGCCUGUUAAUAACGUAGUUUUUUUAGAACUCAGGCUGAACUUCUGAACAUAUCGCUGAACUAUCUCCACAGCCGCUCCAAAUAUAGGUUCAAGAACAACUGUUUUGUACCAUAGGAUUUAAAGCAUGCACUUUUUUUUCUGCCCAGUGAUUGUAUUGGCAUUCUGGAGUUGGCCUUUUCAAUAGUUGUAGAAAAAUUGAAGGUAACACACCUGGUAUCAUUGAUUACUAAAAGCUGCAUUAACCUAUAUUGACAAUCAUGUACGAAAAUAGCGAAAUCUAUGCAAUGUUGGAUUUUUGCAGUGACUGCAGUUCCCUCUCCGGCAACUUACGCACUUUACUUCAGGUUUACGUUUUCUGGGUUGUUGAGGGUACUGGAUGUUUGCAGUGACUCCAUGUUUCAAACAUUUUUUCUAGCUGGACUGGGCUUUG
This 2204-nucleotide unclassified non-coding RNA is filed under the name Hevea brasiliensis (rubber tree). The record is from RNAcentral. Lineage: Eukaryota; Viridiplantae; Streptophyta; Magnoliopsida; Malpighiales; Euphorbiaceae.